This is a non-coding RNA of Xyrichtys novacula (pearly razorfish), 731 nucleotides long. The record is from the annotation of a GenBank genome assembly. Lineage: Eukaryota; Metazoa; Chordata; Actinopteri; Labriformes; Labridae.
AUUGGCAAAAACAUUAUUGUCAUGGGAGAUUUCAACGAUGACAUAUUGAAGUCAUCUUCAAUUUGCAAAUUUUUCCAAGAUAGAGGUUAUGAUCAGGUGAUCACCCAGCCUACCACAGAGCGAGGCACUUUGAUUGAUCAUGUUUAUGUGAGAGGGGGCAUUUUCCACACACAAGCUUAAGUAAUGCCUUCAUAUUUUAGCGACCAUGAAGGUAUUUACUGCAGCUUUAAAAUUUGUGAUUAAUCAUGUACACUGCUGUUUUUGAUAUUAUUAAUGCUUUUCAUAGAAAAGUAGAUUUGAAAGUGUUUUAGCAGGUUUCCAAACGCCUGGCAGAUGGAUCAAUUUACAACGCCUGGACAAACCAUGAUGUCAACGCGAGUGACCACUUCAGCACAUUGUAAGUAAUGAUUUGGAUGGACAUUUAUGGUGAUUGUAUGCAAACUAACAUUUGAUAUAUAACCUCUCCACUUCAUUUACACUUGCAAUUAUUCUGAACAUCACAACUUGACUACAAAGAAUGAAAACAUUAGCAAUCGCCUAGUUACCAUUUCUCCAAUAUGAUGACUUCUUCAUUUGUCAGCAUGUAACUGAUGUGAUCUCUCCUCUCCUCAAUGUUUCAACAAAUAUACCAUACAUCUUAUGUUUGCUCCAGCUGAAGACUGACCAGCCCAUCAUUACUCCACCUUUGGUGAGAUGAGACCCUGAUGGAUUACUGAAACAAUAAACAAUUG